UUGAGGAGCUGGAUGUUCUGCUGUCCACUUUCCCUGAAGAUGGUAGGCCACUUGUGUUUCUUGGAGAUUUCAACAAACACCAAGACAAGCCCCAGGCCACUGAACUUCAUGCUCUUCUGGCCUCGUUUGACUUGGAAAGACUAAGCACUACUACACUUCACAGAUCGGGCAACCAGCUGGACCUCAUUUUUACAUGCCAGCAUGUAUGACACCACCCAGCCCCUGGCUCUGAUGUUUUUUGUGAACAUCAGACUGACCUCAGGGCGGCUGAGAGGAGAUGGUGGAAAUCUAAAGAUCCAGCAGAUCUGGAACAAGCUGCUGGAUGACAAUCAGUCAGGCUUCAAAAGUGGACAUUCCACCGAGACUACCCUGCUGUCUGUCACUGAGUCGCUGAGACAGGGGAGAGCUGGAUCCAGAUCAUCCAUCCUGAUUCUAAUGGACCUUUCUGCAGCCUUUGACACAGUCAACCAUCAGAUCCUACUCUCCACCCUCUCUACUCUGGGCAUCACAGGAACUGUGCUUUACUGGUUUAUAUCUAUCAGGUAUGUCCUUCAAGGUAGCCUGGAGUGGUGAGGUGUCCAAAUCACAUCAGCUACUUACUGGGGUACCUCAGGGCUCAGUGCUUGGACCACUUCUCUUCUCUAUAUACACAACAUCACUGGGACCCAUCAUUCAGGCACAUGGGUUCUCUUACCACUGCUACGCCAGAGACGCACAACUCUACUUGUCUUUCCAGCCCAACGACACCAUGGUGACUGCUUAAGUCUCGGCCUGUUUGGCAGACAUCUCACCCUGGAUGAAGGAGCACCACCUGCAACUUAACCCAGUGAAAACUGAGCUCCUCGUCUUUCCAGCCAACUCUGCUGUUGAACACAAUAUCACUGUUCAGCUGAGUUCAACUACAGUAACACCGUCCAAAACAGUCAGAAAUCUAGGGGUAACCAUCGAUAACCAACUAAAUUUCAUAGACCACAUCUCAAAGACAGCACGUUCAUGUAGAUUUGCACUCUACAAUAUCAGGAAAAUAAGACCCUUCCUCUCUGAACAUGUCACACAACUUCUUGUUCAGUCACUUGUCAUAACUAGACUGAACUACUGUAACGCUCUCAUUGCAGGCCUCCCUUCUUGCGCAAUUAGGCCCCUGUAAAUUAUCCAGAAUUAAUUAACCAAAGAGAGCGCAUGUUACACCACUCCUAGUCUCUCCUCACUGGCUGCCGGUUGAUUCAUAAAUCAAAUUCAAGGCUCUAAUGCUGGCAUACAGAACAGUCACUGGGUCUGCUCCAGCAUAACUAAAAUCAUCUCUGCAGAGCUACGUUCCCACCAGAAGCCUGCGGUCGGCUAAUGAGUGGCGCCUUGUUGUACCAACAUGAAGAGGCACCAAAACACUUUCCCGGGCUUUCGGUUUCACUGUACCACGUUGGUGGAAUGACCUUCUCCAUCCGUGAAGCAGACUCACUUUCUGUCUUCAAAAAAUGUCUAAAAACGCAUCUUUUCCAUGAGCACUUAACCAUGCACUCAUUAAAAAAAAAAUUAUAUAUAUACUUGUUGUACUCUAAUCUGUCUUUGAUACUAUUACUCUGAUGCAAGUGAAACUUUGUAAUGCAGCACUUUUUGUACUACUGUCUUCUUAAGGUGAAUUGCUUAUGAUGUAUUAUUCCUCUUUUGUAAGUCGCUUUGGAUAAAAGCGUCUGCCAAAUGAAUAAAUGUAAAAUGUAAAUGUGAUUCAGAUCCGAUGACUGGGAAGGCCACUGAAGAACAGUGAAGUCAUUGACACGUUCAUAAAACCAGUUUGAAAUGACUUUUGCUUUGUGACAUAGUGCAUUAUCAUGCUGAAAACAUGAAGGGAUGCACAGGGUCAGCAACAAUACUCAAACAGGCUGUGGCAUUCAAGCAAUGAUUGAUUGGUAUUAGCGGGCCCAAAGUUUGCCAAGAAAACAAUCCCUACCCCAUUACACCACCGCCGCCAACAUGGACUGUUGACGCAAGGCAGGUUGGGUCCAUGGAUUCAUGCAGUAGGCACCAAAUUCUGACCCUACCAUCUGGGUGCCUCAGCAGAAAUUGAGAUUCAUCAGACCAGGCUACAUUUUUCCAGUAUUCAACUGUCAAGUUUUGGUAAGCCUGUGCCCACUGCAGCCUCUGCUUUCUGUUCUUGGCUGACAGAAGUGGAACCCAACAUGGUCUUCUGCUGUUGUAGCCCAUCCGCCUCAAGGUUCAACAUGUUGUGCAUUCUGAGAUGCUAUACUUCUCACCACAGUUGUACAGAGCGAUUAUCUGAGUUACUGUAGACUUUGUCAGUUUGAACAAGUCUGGCCAUUCUCCGUUGACCUCUCUCAUCAACCAGGCAUUACCGUCCGCAGAACUGCUGCUCACUGGAAAAUCCCAGGAGAUCAGCAAUUACAGAAAUCUUCAAACCAGCCCAUCUGGCAGCCCAACAAUCAUGCCACGGUUGAAUCAUUGAGAUCAAAAUGUUUUCCCCAUUCUUAUGGUUGAUGUGAACAAUAACUGAAGAUUAUUGGCUGAUUGGAUAAUCACAUAAAAAGUAGGUGUACAGGUGUUCCUAAUUGUGUGCUUAGUAAGUGUAUAAAACAUAUGUCAAUUUAACUGUAUUUUGUAUUUUUGAAACCAAACCUCCCUUAUAAAAAUCAAGAGCUCGUGGCAAAUUUGGCACAAACUUGCCGCAAAUUUGCCACUGAUUUUAUUCGCAUGCAAAUGAGCAUUGCGGCAAAUUGUCCAUUGUUGCCAUUGUUGUUCUGGUAAACAUCUGCGGUGAAUCAAAAGCUCAUUUGCAUGUGUAAAUAUUGAGUGGCAAAUUUGCUGCAAAUUUGUGGCAAGUUUGUGGCUAGUUUGCCAGAACUCAAAACCUAAAUAAUAAAUCAAAACCUUAUAGUUACUGAGAUAUCGCCCUUGUGACAACUAGCCCCAGUCUCCCCUGUAUUGUAAUGAAGUAUUGAUAAACCAAGUACGUUGUAAUGAUGUAAAACCAGAUGUAUAGGAUGUUGUUAUAUACACAAUGUAACAAGUGUUUCUGUUUUACUGCAGAGUGAAUGUGUGGGUGGAAUUCCUUAUUUGCAUAGGUUUUGUAUAGUAAAUGAUGUAUAGUUUUGUUUAAUUUUUAAAAUAGAGAAUUUAAAUAGGCACUAACAUUCCAUUUUAGGUCAUGCCUAAAAUAUCAUGAUGCCCUGCUUCUUAGCAAAUAGAAUAGCAUAUACUGUAUCGUCUACAACAGGAGCACAUCAUGUAAAAGUAUUUUUCAGAGAAACUUUAUAAGGAAUGUAAUUUCCACAAAAAUAAAUAUACAAAAAAUAGCCUAAAAUUGUUAUACAGAAAUUGAAAACAUCAGAGAUGUCUAUUUAAGACACUGUAUGCAUGAUUUACACUUUUAUUUAAUUAAUAAAGGUCA
Long non-coding RNA from Myxocyprinus asiaticus (Chinese sucker), 3400 nucleotides. RefSeq lists it as uncharacterized. The transcript has 3 exons. NCBI's taxonomy places the organism in Eukaryota, Metazoa, Chordata, Actinopteri, Cypriniformes, Catostomidae. The record is from RefSeq and is a predicted model, not a curated record.